This 623-nucleotide ribosomal RNA is filed under the name uncultured bacterium. Its description in RNAcentral is "bacterial SSU rRNA". It matches the Rfam family "Bacterial small subunit ribosomal RNA", at positions 47 to 659 of the family's 1533-position model. The record is from RNAcentral.
CCUAACACAUGCAAGUCGAACGGUAACAGGAAGAAGCUUGCUUCUUUGCUGACGAGUGGCGGACGGGUGAGUAAUGUCUGGGAAACUGCCUGAUGGAGGGGGAUAACUACUGGAAACGGUAGCUAAUACCGCAUAACGUCGCAAGACCAAAGAGGGGGACCUUCGGGCCUCUUGCCAUCGGAUGUGCCCAGAUGGGAUUAGCUAGUAGGUGGGGUAACGGCUCACCUAGGCGACGAUCCCUAGCUGGUCUGAGAGGAUGACCAGCCACACUGGAACUGAGACACGGUCCAGACUCCUACGGGAGGCAGCAGUGGGGAAUAUUGCACAAUGGGCGCAAGCCUGAUGCAGCCAUGCCGCGUGUAUGAAGAAGGCCUUCGGGUUGUAAAGUACUUUCAGCGGGGAGGAAGGGAGUAAAGUUAAUACCUUUGCUCAUUGACGUUACCCGCAGAAGAAGCACCGGCUAACUCCGUGCCAGCAGCCGCGGUAAUACGGAGGGUGCAAGCGUUAAUCGGAAUUACUGGGCGUAAAGCGCACGCAGGCGGUUUGUUAAGUCAGAUGUGAAAUCCCCGGGCUCAACCUGGGAACUGCAUCUGAUACUGGCAAGCUUGAGUCUCGUAGAGGGG